Molecule: long non-coding RNA, 1126 nt
Organism: Bombus impatiens (common eastern bumble bee)
Lineage: Eukaryota; Metazoa; Arthropoda; Insecta; Hymenoptera; Apidae
Exons: 3
Source: RefSeq, a predicted model, not a curated record
UCCUUCGAUAGUCUCGUGAUGAACUCGGUAAAAGAUGAGAGGAAUCGAGACUACGUAAAAUAUAUAUAUAUAUAUAACUACUAUACAUAACAAUAGGAAUUUAUUUAACGUAAAUGUGAUAAAAGUAUAGAAGUUUAGAACAGCACGUUCCCAAUGCCCUUACAGGUUCGCAUUAUGUCGGUUGAAUGGAGUUUGAACAUAGCUACAAUAAAAUAACAUCCGUCUCCUAAGCUACAUAGGCUGAAUGGAGUUUGAUUAAAGUGAUCAUCGCCGAGUUCUUCAUCACCAAAAUCAUCAUCUCUUUUUCCGGCAGACGUCAUAGGACGAACAGGUAACGGGCCAAUGGGAUCAACAUAAGGAGUACCUACAGAAAAUACUUUACAUGCACUUGUAACACCUCUUUGUGUAGUAUUUCCUUUUAAAUUGUUUAAAUGAUCGAUAAUAAACAAUAGGAUGCCGUACAAGUUUGGGAUUCAUUAUUGUAUACAAGGAUCAAAAAUAGGCUGUUCAAAAUAGCUAGACUCAUCUAUCAUCUAUUCAAUCCAUUAGCGUAGUCCAACUAUCAUCGGUAAAUCAUCCUUGUUAAUGUUCAUUUCAAAUAAAGCUACGUAUUCCCGACACUUUGAUAACUGUACUAAGCAUUCGUAUAUCUACUAUUUCGCAAAUUAUACCGAUCGUAAAAUUUAUUAUUUUUUUGUACGAUUUCAACGUAAAAGAGUGCGUACCUGUUUGAUCAGUGACAUCGUUUGCCACGUCCGUAAUAUUUUCAGUUGCAGAAACUCGAUUAGGUCGCGUGAUACCAGCGCUACUUAAACCUUGAUUUUCUCUUCUAUUAAACGUGGGACUUGACCUGUGGUCUGAUAAUACGCUCAUUCCAGAACCAGUUCGUGAUGAUGUCCCGCUAUUACUCCUUCUUGAGCCUAUAUAUAGGUGGUGCAGGCCCUCUGGUAGAACUAUUCAUAUUCAAUGGAUCAAAUGGUUGACGAUUACUACUAGUAUAACCAGCUCCUCUGACUGCAGUCAUUGGCCUUAGUCCACUAGUAUUAGGACGCACUGGUAUACCAGUACCACUUCUGUGAAACUAUAAAUAUUAAAUUGCAUAUUAAAACAAUAUUAUGAAAUACAA